GUGAAACUGAAAUGUUGGAAAUAACUCAAAGAUAUUUCGUCAGAUUUAUACUAAUGAUGGAUAAACGUAGUCCGACUGACUCUUUCUAGUAAUGUUGGUUUGUGGUCUGUCGAAGGAUAUACUGAUAAAAUGAAACUUUGUUUUUUGGAGACUGUGUCGUGCAAAAUCGACAACAAUACAUAAAACGGAUGUUUAAUUUUCGUAUGGGACAAAUAUUAACCGGUGAGGCCAGUCAAAUUUCAUUGACUUACGAUUAUAUCAAAAUUUUGAUAAAAUAUGAUUUUGAUGCUUUUGUUGAAAACUUUGUGGCUGAAAUUUUUUUUCCAGACAAGCUACUGUGGAGCAAAAUUGUAAAACAGACUUUAGACAUAUACGAAGAAAACAAAUGGAAACACUCAGUGAACGGCGACCAGAACUUAAGCGGUACCAUAAAAUACAUACUUGUUUGACGGAGCAUCGUUUGUUACGACUAGCGGUAACUUAUCCAUCGCUAAAUUCAAAAUUUAU
Molecule: long non-coding RNA, 507 nt
Filed under: Mytilus galloprovincialis (Mediterranean mussel)
Lineage: Eukaryota; Metazoa; Mollusca; Bivalvia; Mytilida; Mytilidae
Source: RNAcentral